UGGGCUUGAAGAUGUGAAGUCUGACUGA
This 28-nucleotide non-coding RNA is filed under the name Homo sapiens (human). The record is from RNAcentral. Lineage: Eukaryota; Metazoa; Chordata; Mammalia; Primates; Hominidae.